RNAcentral lists this transfer RNA (75 nucleotides) under bacterium. RNAcentral's name for it is "tRNA-Pro". It matches the Rfam family "tRNA". From Rfam's summary of the family: Transfer RNA (tRNA) molecules are approximately 80 nucleotides in length. Their secondary structure includes four short double-helical elements and three loops (D, anti-codon, and T loops). The record is from RNAcentral.
CGGGGACUGGCUCAACGGUAGAGCGCUCGAUUCGGGUUCGAGAGACUCCGAGUUCGAUUCUCGGGUCCCCGACCA